RNAcentral lists this long non-coding RNA (624 nucleotides) under Malus domestica (apple). Its description in RNAcentral is "long non-coding RNA (MDOM_LNC011838)". The record is from RNAcentral. Lineage: Eukaryota; Viridiplantae; Streptophyta; Magnoliopsida; Rosales; Rosaceae.
UUAUGGUAGCUUUCCAUGGCCUCCUUUAAGGCUUCUUGGGCUCGUUCUUUCCAGUACGCAUCUAAAUCUAAUACCGUACUAUCUUCAUUUGCAACAUCGGUUGGACCAUCAUUACUCGAAACAAAUACAGCAAAGGAUAAGAAAAACAAACAUAGAAAGAAAUAGGACGAGUUAAACAUUGCUGCCAUUGUUGUUGGUACUUCGUCGGCGGCCACCGACACCUUGCGAGAGGACACUGUCGGGUUGGGCGAGGACAGGGUUGCUCGAUGGUGUUGAAGCAGUCCCGGCCAAGCCAAGCCAACAGAUUAAACCGGUCACAAGAGAUUAUUAAUUAACCAACCGACUUACCUAUUGAUUUGCUUGGGGGUGUCUUUAAAUAUGAGAACAGAUUCGCUAAAUAAGGCAUUUGCAGUUAAUUAAUUAUAAUUAAGCGUCUUAAUCUAACAUUUGACGGGAAGUGUGGGCAGAAUAGCCUUUGAAAAUUAGGGCCUUCCCCUUAAAUUGCUUUAAAUUGAUUAAUUCAGGUGCUAGCUAAUUUUGGAUGUUGUUUCAGGAAAGACUAUCACCAUAAUACUCGCGUCGACACAUGUUUAAUACAUUUGUAAAUUGUAAUAGUCAAAAGUC